UGCUUUACACAUGCAAGUCGAACGGGGUUAGGGAGCUUGCUCUCUAACUUAGUGGCGAACGGGUGAGUAAUACAUCGGAACGUACCGUGUAGUGGGGGACAACGAGUCGAAAGAUUCGCUAAUACCGCAUAUUCUCUACGGAGGAAAGCAGGGGAUCGCAAGACCUUGUGCUAUACGAGCGGCCGAUGGCUGAUUAGCUAGUUGGUAGGGUAAAGGCCUACCAAGGCGACGAUCAGUAGCGGGUCUUAGAGGACGAUCCGCCACACUGGGACUGAGACACGGCCCAGACUCCUACGGGAGGCAGCAGUGGGGAAUCUUGGACAAUGGGCGAAAGCCUGAUCCAGCAAUGCCGCGUGCGUGAAGAAGGCCUUCGGGUUGUAAAGCGC
Molecule: ribosomal RNA, 386 nt
Filed under: uncultured organism
Description: bacterial SSU rRNA
Rfam family: Bacterial small subunit ribosomal RNA
Source: RNAcentral